RNAcentral lists this long non-coding RNA (512 nucleotides) under Nicotiana benthamiana. Its description in RNAcentral is "long non-coding RNA (NBEN_LNC016225)". Lineage: Eukaryota; Viridiplantae; Streptophyta; Magnoliopsida; Solanales; Solanaceae. The record is from RNAcentral.
UUUCGCUAUUUGGUAUGCAAAUUAAGGAAAAUAACAUCUCAAGAGUAUUCAUAAGUAAUUAGAUAUAGUAAACAUGAAGCGAUAAACUUUCAAACCAACAACAUUUCGAGCCUACAAAUUUCAUAAACUUUCGAACCGCUAAACUUUCAAAACCGCGGAAUUUCAAUCCCUUAAACUUCAUAAUUUCAAUACCCGUAAACUUCAAUCACAUAAACCUCUGAACUCAUAAUUUUGGAACUUGUAAAAUUUUGAGCCUUUAAACCUAUAAAUAAUAAAAUUAAAACUGAACAAUAUAUUUAAAAUAUUUUUGUUGGGGGGAGGGGGGGAGGAUGGGCAGACAUAAUUUCAAUACCCGUAAACUUCAAUCACAUAAACCUCUGAACUCAUAAUUUUGGAACUUGUAAAAUUUUGAGCCUUUAAACCUAUAAAUAAUAAAAUUAAAAUUGAAAAUAUAUUUAAUUUUUAGGAGGGUGGGGGAGUGGGGAUGGGGGGAGGGCAGUAAAACGAAAAAA